AUACGUAGGGUGCAAGCGUUAAUCGGAAUUACUGGGCGUAAAGCGUGCGCAGGCGGUUUUGUAAGACAGAGGUGAAAUCCCCGGGCUCAACCUGGGAACUGCCUUUGUGACUGCAAGGCUAGAGUACGGCAGAGGGGGAUGGAAUUCCGCGUGUAGCAGUGAAAUGCGUAGAUAUGCGGAGGAACACCGAUGGCGAAGGCAAUCCCCGGGGCCUGCACUGACGCUCAUGCACGAAAGCGCGGGGAGCAAACAGGAUUAGAUACCCUGGUAGUCCACGCCCUAAACGAUGUCAACUGGUUGUUGGGGAUUUAUUUUCUCAGUAACGAAGCUAACGCGUGAAGUUGACCGCCUGGGGAGUACGGCCGCAAGGUUAAAACUCAAAGGAAUUGACGGGU
This 395-nucleotide ribosomal RNA is filed under the name uncultured bacterium. RNAcentral describes it as "partial 16S ribosomal RNA". It matches the Rfam family "Bacterial small subunit ribosomal RNA", at positions 523 to 918 of the family's 1533-position model. The record is from RNAcentral.